RNA transcript from Ailuropoda melanoleuca (giant panda), 6538 nucleotides. It is a transcript of the gene named 5-methyltetrahydrofolate-homocysteine methyltransferase, with no coding region annotated. The transcript has 35 exons. The record is from RefSeq and is a predicted model, not a curated record. NCBI's taxonomy places the organism in Eukaryota, Metazoa, Chordata, Mammalia, Carnivora, Ursidae.
AUGUCGCCCGCACUGCCAGAGCUGACGCCUUCCGCAGGUGUGAAGAAAAGCCUGCAGGAUGAGAUUGAAGCCAUUCUACGUGAGAGGAUCAUGGUGCUGGAUGGAGGGAUGGGGACCAUGAUCCAGCGGCAUAAGCUAAGUGAAGAAGACUUCCGAGGUCACGAAUUUCAAGAUCACGCCAGGCCGCUGAAAGGCAACAAUGACAUUUUAAGCAUAACUCAACCCAGUGUUAUUUACCAAAUCCAUAAGGAUUACUUGCUGGCUGGGGCAGAUAUCAUCGAAACAAACACUUUCAGCAGCACUAACAUUGCCCAAGCAGACUAUGGCCUCGAACACUUGGCCUACCGGAUGAACAAAUGCUCCGCGGGACUGGCCAGAAAGGCAGCCGAGGAGGUGUCCUUCCAGACAGGAAUUAAGAGGUUUGUGGCAGGAGCUCUGGGUCCAACUAAUAAGACACUGUCUGUGUCUCCGUCUGUGGAGAAACCAGAUUACAGGAACAUUACAUUUGAUGAACUCGUUGAAGCGUACCAAGAGCAGGCCAAAGGGCUUCUGGAUGGUGGGGCUGAUAUCUUACUCAUUGAAACUAUUUUUGAUACCGCCAAUGCCAAGGCAGCCUUGUUCGCACUCCAGACACUUUUUGAAGAGGAGUAUUCCCCCCGGCCUAUCUUCAUUUCAGGGACAAUUAUUGAUAAAAGUGGGCGAACUCUUUCCGGACAGAUGGGAGAGGCAUUUGUCAUCAGUGUGUCUCACGCAGACCCCCUCUGCAUUGGAUUAAACUGCGCUCUGGGUGCAGCUGAAAUGAGACCUUUUAUUGAAACAAUUGGAAAAUGUACAACAGCCUAUGUCCUCUGUUAUCCCAAUGCAGGUCUUCCCAACACGUUUGGUGACUACGAUGAGACUCCGCAUAUGAUGGCCACGCAACUAAAGGACUUUGCUAUGGAUGGCUUGGUCAAUAUAGUGGGUGGCUGCUGUGGUACGACUCCUGAUCACAUCAGGGAGAUUGCUAAAGCUGUGAGAAACUGUAAGCCUAGAGUUCCACCUGCCACUGUUUUUGAAGAGCAUAUGUUACUAUCUGGUCUAGAGCCCUUCAGGAUCGGACCGUACACCAACUUUGUUAACAUUGGAGAGCGCUGUAACGUGGCAGGAUCCAGGAGGUUUGCUAAACUCAUCAUGGCAGGAAACUAUGAAGAAGCGCUGAGUGUUGCCAAAGUGCAGGUGGAAAUGGGAGCGCAGGUGUUGGAUAUCAACAUGGAUGACGGCAUGCUGGACGGUUCCAGUGCAAUGACCAGAUUUUGCAACUUCAUUGCUUCCGAGCCCGAUAUUGCCAAGGUGCCCUUGUGCAUCGACUCUUCCAAUUUUGCUGUGAUUGAAGCCGGCUUGAAGUGCUGCCAGGGCAAGUGCAUUGUCAACAGCAUUAGCCUGAAGGAGGGAGAGGAAGACUUCUUGGAGAAGGCUAGAAAGAUUAAGAAGUUUGGAGCUGCUGUGGUGGUCAUGGCUUUUGAUGAAGAAGGGCAGGCGACAGAAACAGACACCAAAAUCAGCGUGUGCAUGCGGGCCUACCGUCUACUUGUGAAAAAACUGGGCUUUAAUCCAAAUGACAUCAUCUUUGACCCCAACAUCCUCACCAUUGGUACUGGGAUGGAAGAGCACAACUUGUAUGCUGUUAAUUUUAUCCGUGCAACAAAAAUCAUUAAAGAAACCCUACCUGGAGCCCGAGUAAGUGGAGGUCUUUCCAACUUGUCCUUCUCCUUCCGAGGAAUGGAAGCCAUUCGAGAAGCAAUGCAUGGGGUUUUCCUUUACCACGCAAUCAAGUUUGGUAUGGACAUGGGGAUAGUGAAUGCAGGAAACCUCCCUGUAUAUGACGAUAUCCACAAGGAGCUUCUCCAGCUCUGUGAAGAUCUCAUCUGGAACAAAGACCCCGAGGCCACUGAGAAGCUCCUGCGCUAUGCUCAGACGCAUGGCAAAGGAGGGAAGAAAGUCAUCCAGACUGAUGAGUGGAGGAAUGGCCCCAUUGAAGAACGCCUGGAGUACGCCCUUGUGAAGGGUAUCGAAAAAUAUAUUAUUGAGGACACUGAGGAAGCCAGGUUAAACCAGGAAAAAUAUCCCCGGCCUCUGAAUAUAAUCGAAGGGCCUCUGAUGAACGGCAUGAAAGUUGUCGGUGACCUCUUUGGAGCUGGAAAAAUGUUUCUACCUCAGGUUAUAAAGUCAGCUCGAGUCAUGAAGAAAGCUGUUGGCCACCUUAUUCCCUUCAUGGAGAAAGAAAGAGAAGAGAACAAAAUGCAUGCUGGCACAGAAGAAAAAGAGGACCCCUACCAGGGCACCAUUGUGUUGGCUACCGUGAAGGGCGACGUGCACGACAUAGGCAAGAACAUAGUUGGUGUGGUCCUUGGCUGCAAUAACUUCAGAGUUAUUGAUUUAGGGGUCAUGACUCCCUGUGACAAGAUCCUGAAAGCUGCUCUUGACCACAAAGCAGAUAUAAUUGGCCUAUCAGGACUCAUCACUCCUUCCCUGGAUGAAAUGAUUUUUGUUGCCAAGGAAAUGGAGAGAUUGGCUAUAAAGAUUCCACUGUUGAUCGGAGGAGCAACCACAUCCAGAACCCACACGGCAGUGAAAAUAGCUCCAAGAUACAGCGCACCUGUCAUCCACGUCCUGGAUGCAUCCAAGAGUGUGGUGGUGUGCUCGCAGCUGUUAGAUGAGAAUCUAAAGGAUGAAUUUUUUGAGGAGAUCCUGGAAGAAUAUGAAGAUAUUAGACAGGACCAUUAUGAGUCUCUCAAGGAGAGAAGAUACUUAACCUUAAGUCAAGCUAGAAAAAAUGGUUUCCAUAUUGACUGGCUGUCAGAGCCCCCUCCAGUGAAGCCCACAUUUCUUGGGACUCGGGUCUUCGAAGACUAUGACCUGCGGAAGCUGGUGGCCUACAUCGACUGGAAACCCUUCUUCGAUGUCUGGCAGCUCCGGGGCAAGUACCCGAAUCGAAGCUUUCCCAAGAUAUUUAAGGACAAAACUGUAGGUGAAGAGGCCAGAAAAGUCUAUGAUGAUGCCCAAAACAUGCUGGAAGUGCUGAUCAGUCAGAAGAAGCUCCGAGCCAGGGGCGUGGUGGGGUUUUGGCCGGCACAGAGCGUGGAAGACGACAUCCACCUGUACGCAGAGGGCGCCACGCCGCAGGCCGCAGAGCCCAUAGCUACCUUCCACGGGCUGAGGCAGCAGGCCGAGAAGGACUCUGCCAGCACGGACCCAUACCACUGCCUCUCGGACUUCAUCGCUCCACUGCAUUCUGGCGUCCGCGACUACCUGGGCCUGUUUGCUGUCGCCUGCUUCGGGGUGGAGGAGCUGAGCAAGGCCUACGAGCAGGAGUGUGACGACUACAGCAGCAUCAUGGUCAAGGCUCUGGGAGACCGGCUGGCUGAGGCCUUUGCGGAGGAGCUCCACGAGCGGGUCCGCCGGGAGCUGUGGGCCUACUGCAGCUGUGAGCAGCUGGAUGUCGCCGACCUGCGGCGGCUUCGAUACGAGGGUAUCCGGCCGGCUCCCGGCUACCCCAGCCAGCCCGACCACAGCGAGAAGCUCACCAUGUGGAAGCUUGCUGAUGUGGAGCGGUGCACGGGCAUUAGGUUAACGGAGUCCUUAGCAAUGGCACCUGCUUCAGCGGUAUCUGGCCUCUACUUCUCCAAUUUGAAGUCGAAAUACUUUGCAGUGGGGAAAAUUUCCAAGGAUCAGAUUGAGGACUACGCUGUGCGGAAGAACAUGUCCGUGGCCGAGGUUGAGAAAUGGCUGGGACCCAUUUUGGGAUACGACAUAGAAGAUAGAGACAGCCAGCGAGAGAGGGAACACAAGCAGGGGGAGUGGGAGAGGAAGAAGCAGGCUCAUGGCGGAGGAGCCUGACGUGGGGCUCGAUCCCAGAAUGCCAGGAUCACGCCCUGAGCCGAAGGCACACGCUUAACCACUAUGCCACCCAGGCGCCCCUGGAUUCACAUUUCACCUUUGCCACUGGCUGUGCGACGUGGGCACAUGGCUUCCACUCUCCAGCACUGUCUUCUCAUCUGUAAAAUGGGGACAGCGAUACCAGCUCCUCUGCCAUGGGCCUGAGGGGUGGACCACUGGGACCGGGACAGGGAAGCCGCCUUCGUGUCCUGUGAACCAUCUGCACUCACUCCCUCGUCUCUCGUGGUCCAAGCAGUCCUAGCAGAUGUGCCUUCAAGUGCAUUGGAGGCAAAGGGAAAAAACCUGACGAGAAGGACAACUCUGUGCGUCUGCAGUGUAUCUGCGUGGACGUAGAGAGUGACGGGCCUUUCAGCCAUCGCUGCCUUGAAGCGAACGCAGCCGUGAGGUACAGUCAGUCUGUGCGUGAGCGAGAACGGGACUCGGUUUCCUGAGACACUCGGGGGAGUCUCUCAGAGGGAGACUUCUUUUCUGUUCCGUAACAAGUGUGUUGGUAUUGGUACAUUGUUCUGUGAGAAAGAGUAAGCUCCUCCGAAUAUCUGAAUGUAUUUCGUCGGAAUUAGAGUUGCCUAGAGUCUCCUGAUUUCAUUAUUUACCAUCUCUUCCCUCAGCCAGUUAUGUGACAGAAUGGCUUCCUUAUAUGUACUGUUCAUCUGACCCCACGCGGGAUGCCUUUUUUUCCAAAGACAGACACAGUCAUGCAAGUUCAGGCACAUAUAUAUUUAUGAAAGAAUAUAAAAUAUAAGUUGAAAACCCCUCCCUUAUGUAUGUCACACACUUGGAAGGCGGGUAGGUGGCCGUUCUGAACGCGGGGUCUCUUCUGUGUCGGUGCCUGUCCAUGCAGAGCCUGUUCUGGGCGUCACUGUCUGGGGCUGUCGCAUGAACCCACUCGCUGUUGUCAUUUUUGCUGAGGAUCCCAUGUUGUUCUUCCCUCUGAAGCAGCGCUGGUUUGGGUCUCCCUCUCUCUGCUGCUCGCUGUGCUGUCCGCUCUGAGGAGUCUGGUUUGUGGGAUGGUGGGGAGAUGGGGUGUAUGACACCCCAUUUCUUCUCUGAGAUAUUCUCCUGUGUCCUCCCUGCGCUCACAGCUGAACUCACGUAGACAAUAGUCCACCUUCUUUCUGUCCCCCCACCUGCCCUUGAACAGAUACUGAGUGUCUGCUGUGUGCCCCCCACCUUCUCCCCCUUUCUCUCCUGAACCCAGUGAGUUAGGUUUUUACCUGCCUCUUCUGGCAUCCGUGACCUCUCAGAGGUCAGACCCCGUGGCCUUCCCAGUGAUUGUCCUCUGCGUGGCCUUGGACAGCACAGACCCACUUCUUCAGAACUCUCCUUUCCCUGCUUACGCCUUGGCAUAACUCUCUGGUUAUCCUUCUGUGUUUGUGAUAAUUUCUCAGCCAUUUUCAUAGUUUUUUUUCCUCUGUCCAUUUAAAUCCUGGUGUCAGGGGCCUGUCAUUAGUGACGUCCUUAGCACGUGUAGUUUCAGUGGGUGAUCUCGCUGACUCCACAUCCCCAUCUAAGCUCUGUCCUGAAGAGCUCAGCAUACAUCCAACAGCCCCUUCCAGGCGGACAGGCGGACAUCUCAGACCCAGUGUGUCUCGUCUUGUUCCUCUCCAGUCGUGAAAUUCAGUCAUGAAGAAUGGUGCCACCACUGCUUGACGAAACCUCACACUCAGCCUGUAUCAUCUUUGGCUUAGACUAGUGCAGGGGUCUGAAAAGUUAGCGCAUGAAGGACACACUUAGCCUACUUUAGUUGGGGUGGCGGUAGAGACACUGGGGAAGGCAGUGCUUCGGUGAAGGCCUGAUGUGGGACUGGAGGGAUCAGGAUGAAGAAGCAAGGUAGGAGCAAAUGAAGAGCUGUCUUUGUUCAUGACCGGGAGUAUGAAGGGUUGUAGAGGUAUCAGAUCUCCCCAAACUGACCUGUAGGUUCAGUGCCAUUUCCAACAGAAAUUUCAGGAGAGGUUGUGUUCAGUGUGAUAAGCAGAUAUUUAAAUUUAUUUGGAAUAGCAAAGGGCUAAGAGUGGCUUAGUGCUUCCAGAUGCGAAGAAGAGGUUACGAGGUAGUAGGUUUUGUUGUAUGUGGUGCAGAGGCGGGCAUUCCGAACGGUACCGUGAACUGAGGCCCCAGAAGGUGAGACGUGCGUGUGUUGACCUUUACGACACGGCACAUCUGGGAGGAGAGGCGGGGUGACUGCACACGGGGUGCUGGAACCAUGCUUAUCUGAAGGGAAAGGUGAAAUUUGGUUUCUGCCUCACGUGUUAUGCAGCUAUCAAUUCCAAAUAUAUUAAGGUCUUAAAUAAAAAAUAAUAAUAAUUUCAAUGUUUGUGUGGACAAGCCUUAGGGCAGGAAAUAAUCCCUCGAGACAUAAAGCACUAACCACAAUGAAAAGAUGAUUAAAUCAACUGUUUUUUAAGGCUGAUGUUAAGCCAAGAAGCAAUUUAAAGUAGUGAAAAGACAAGCCAUGACUUGAGAUAUUUGUAAUACACUUAAUUGACAAACGAUUAGUAAGCAGAAUAGAUAGAGAAUUCCUGUUUAAGAAAAAAAAGGGAGGGGCACCUGGGUGGCUCAGUCGUUAAGCGGUUGCCUUCGGCUCAGGGCGCGAUCCCAGGGU